ACCGGUUGAUGAGUCUCAAAUAGGACGAAACGCGCAUCCUGGAU
RNAcentral lists this non-coding RNA (44 nucleotides) under Schistosoma mansoni. The record is from RNAcentral. Lineage: Eukaryota; Metazoa; Platyhelminthes; Trematoda; Strigeidida; Schistosomatidae.